Long non-coding RNA from Ictalurus punctatus (channel catfish), 2351 nucleotides. The record is from Ensembl. NCBI's taxonomy places the organism in Eukaryota, Metazoa, Chordata, Actinopteri, Siluriformes, Ictaluridae.
AGCGCUUCUUAUUCACAGCAUACAUAAUCAUCCGUCUUAUCCGUACAGACAUGGAGGCCAGAGUGAUUGUAGCGGUUGUGUUUAUCUGCGCUGUUUGUCGCUUCUCUGAAGCCCAGCUGCAGAACACGACACCACUCACUAACAACAUCACUCGUACUGGUUGCGGCACCACUAAGCUGUGUGUGUCGACUCCGUCUAAUUGCGAUCUUGCAGGAAACUCCAGCUGUUAUUUCAGCUCUACUCAGUACAAUAAUGCAACACUGACCGUGGAACUCUCCGGCACGACUUCAGGAUACGUGGCAUUGGGACUCACACCCACUAGCAGCCUAUUUAAUUUCAAUGGAACUGCUGUGUUCGUCUGUGGCAACAAUAACAACAGCGCCUUCUUCGAAACAGCUAUUCAGAACGGCUCAGUGUUGACUCCUGCUAACCUGACCGCCUUAAAUAUAACCAGUGUUCAGGGUUCAGUAUUGGGAAACGGGAGUCUUGUUCAGUGUGUCUUCAAUGUCACCCUCAAUUCCACCUUCCUCAAUUCCAUCUUCCUCAGUUCAACUGUUCAGCUGUCUUCCAACAUCAGCAUCUAUAAUGGAAGCACAAAUGGAACUGAACUGGGUAUUGCAACUACACUGUAUACCUCCCCAUCAGCAGUAGACCUGUCUAAUCCUAGUGCCUUAAACACUGCAAACACCAACUUCUGCACUAAUGUGUUGGCUGUGCUGCUCGCCACUCUGACUCUACACCUCAUAUAAAAACCUGCCAUGUUCAUUUUAAUAUAAAAUCCCCAGAGCCUAUAAAUGUGUGUUACAGUAUCUGAUCUGUGCAUGUGUGUUUAUACAUUUAUGAAGCUAUUGUUAAUUGGCUGAACAUGGAACACAUCUGUCAUAUACAGUAUAAACAUCACCCUUUUAUUUAUUUAUUUAUUUUUUUUUUUACAGUCAAUACGAGAAAUUCAUUUGCACUUCCAUAGACGUCAGACUUUUAAAUAUAAAAAUUUAUAAUAACGAGGGCGCAAAUGUUUUGAAUAAAAUCUACUUUAUAUGAUCAUUUUAAUUAUUAAAUAAUUGUAAUUUCAGUAAUUUCAUGCUCAUCAUUUUUAUUUGAGAUACUUUAUACACCUAGGUGAAUGUAAGUUUCCACCCCUAAAACCUUUCUAUAUGUUUUUCACUUUUGUUGGUUGAUAUCAUACUAAAGGUAAACAAAUAUCUAACAUGACUUGAUUUUAUUUUGUUGUUUUUUAAAUAUCAUUUAAACUAUUUUAACAGGUGUGUAGACUUUUUUAUAGUCACUGUGUGAGCUGACAGCUGGGAAAAUACACACGAGUGAAAGCAGCCUUAACGGUGUAUUUCUUUCUUUUUUACAUUUGACCUACAAUGUUGUCUAAAAGCACUCAUGCCGAUUUUGUAAUGAUCUAAACUGCUAAAAUACCUAACUAUAAAAGAUUUCCAUAUCAGCAUAUUUAUACAUUGUCAUAUGUGGGUUUGUUGUUGUUGUUGUGUCACAUUAUUAAGAUGGCCCCAUUUAUAAUGACUACAGUACUGUGCAAAAGUUUUAGGCACCCUAUUUGUUGUUGUUUUUUGUACAAACUUUGUUUGCUUGUUUUUUUUUCAUUUUAUGACGUCUACAUUAUGGAGUUGGUACAAAAAAAAAAACGUUUUAGAUUCCCAAACAUUCGUUUUCUGGCACAAAAGUAAAUGUUACAGAAAAAAGUAAAUCUUACAGUUGUUAAAGAAAGCAGCGUAUUAAGAGGUAACAGAUGACUUUUCAGGCAAAAAAACCAUGACGAACGCUGCUGGGUUUCGCUGCAAAAACAAGAAGUGCGUGCAACAGUCAAAGUCUCCAGAAGGUUCUGCGAGAUGCUCAGUAAGCCAGUAGCUCAUUUCCUUAUAAAACUGCACUAAUUAUACCGGAGACUACUAUUUUUAUUUUUAUUUCUUUUUUUUGUCACUAGAUAUUGACUUUGUUUCAUUUACUAUAAUUUAUUGCUCUUUAUGGUAUUUUUUUUUAAAUGUAGAAACAUUCCAUUUCAUUAUUUUCAAGGCAUCUUUGCUCUACAAUGACAAAAAUUUUUGUGCGGUACUCUACGUCUAGUCUCACUGUCUGGGUUUCUGAUAUGUGACACACCUGUAAAUGUGCGGCUUCAAAUAACACACCUGACCCGCACAGCCAGACAUUCAAGAUCAACUGAUACUAGUGUGUUCGCGUCUUUGUUGUCUAAUCAUUAUGCUGAAGAAAUACUUUAAACAACACACCCUUAAACUAGCACACCAUACACCCUUCUCAAACACCCAAAUUCAAACUCUUCAAUCCUCACGCAAGCUGUAGUUCAUGCACAAUGUGUAGAUCAGGUUAUG